CAAUCGAACCCGGAGAUAGCUGGUUCUCCCCGAAAUAGCUUUAGGGCUAGCGUCGGAAAGAACCUUAGUGAAGGUAGAGCACUGAAUGUGUGAUGGCCCCAUCCCGGGGUACUGAAUACAAUCAAACUGCGAAUGUCAUUAAGGAUGUCCGGCAGUCAGACUGUGAGUGAUAAGGUCCAUGGUCAAGAGGGAAACAGCCCAGACCGCCAGUUAAGGUCCCAAAAUACAGGCUAAGUGGAAAAGGAUGUGGGGAUGCCCAGACAACUAGGAGGUUGGCUCAGAAGCAGCCAUCCUUUAAAGAGUGCGUAACAGCUCACUAGUCGAGUGACCCUGCGCCGAAAAUGUACCGGGGCUAAGCCUGAUACCGAAACUGCGGAUUGUAGGAAACUAUAGUGGUAGGGGAGCGUUGUAUACGAGUAGAAGCCGUACCGUGAGGAGCGGUGGAUUGUAUAGAAGUGAGAAUGCCGGUGUGAGUAGCGAGAUGUAGGUGAGAAUCCUACACACCGAAAGCCCAAGGAUUCCAGGGGAAGGUUCGUCCGCCCUGGGUAAGUCGGGACCUAACGCGAGGCCGAAAGGCGUAGUGGAUGGAAAGCAGGCGAAAGAUUCCUGCACCCGUAUAUGGAGCGAAGGAGUGACGGAGACGGAUAGUGUGACCCUCUUAAUGGAUUGAGGGCGAAGCGAAGCGGCUGGUUACCAGGCAAAUCCGGUAACCAUAAGGCUAGAGCGUGAUAGGUAAGCGAAAUCUUAGGAAAGUAGCGAAGCACAUGAUGACGGCUUCCAGGAAAAGCUUCUGGCAAUGCAUAUGCGGCCCGUACCAAAACCGACACAGGUGGGCAGGGAGAGAAUCCCGAGGUGAGCGAGAGAACUGUUGCCAAGGAACUCGGCAAAAUGACUCCGUAAGUUAGCGAGAAGGAGUGCUUAAGCAAUUAAGCCGCAGUGAAGAGGCCCAAGCGACUGUUUAACUAAAACACAGCUCUCUGCGAAGUCGCAAGACGAAGUAUAGGGGGUGACACCUGCCCGGUGCUGGAAGGUUAAGAGGAUCUGUUAAGAGCGAUCUGAAGCAGUGAUCCGAAGCCCCAGUGAACGGCGGCCGUAACUAUAACGGUCCUAAGGUAGCGAAAUUCCUUGUCAGGUAAGUUCUGACCCGCACGAAAGGUGUAACGAUUUGGGCGCUGUCUCGGCAGCAGACUCGGUGAAAUCUUAGUACCUGUGAAAAUGCAGGUUACCCGCAACUAGACGGAAAGACCCCAUGGAGCUUUACUGCAGCCUGAUAUUGAAUUCUGGUCAUACAUGUACAGGAUAGGUGGGAGACAAAGAGACGUGCACGCCAGUGUACGAGGAGUCGACGUUGGGAUACCACUCUUGUGUGACCGGGGUUCUAACCUGGUAUCGAGAACAGGUACGGGGAGAGUGUCAGGUGGGCAGUUUGACUGGGGCGGUCGCCUCCCAAAGAGUAACGGAGGCGCCCAAAGGUACGCUCAGAUUGGAUGGAAACCAAUCGACGAGUGCAAUUGCAGAAGCGUGCUUGACUGUGAGACUUACAAGUCGAACAGGGACGAAAGUCGGGAAUAGUGAUCCGGCGGUGCCGAAUGGAAGGGCCGUCGCUCAACGGAUAAAAGCUACCCUGGGGAUAACAGGCUGAUCUCCCCCAAGAGUCCACAUCGACGGGGAGGUUUGGCACCUCGAUGUCGGCUCAUCGCAUCCUGGGGCUGAAGUAGGUCCCAAGGGUUGGGCUGUUCGCCCAUUAAAGCGGUACGCGAGCUGGGUUCAGAACGUCGUGAGACAGUUCGGUCCCUAUCUGUUGUGGGCGAAGGAGAUCUGCGGAGAGCUGUCCUCAGUACGAGAGGACCGGGAUGGACCUACCGCUGGUGCACCGGUUGUUCCGCCAGGGGCAUAGCCGGGUAGCUAAGUAGGGAAAGGAUAAGCGCUGAAAGCAUCUAAGCACGAAGCCUACUCCAAGAUGAGAUCUCCCAUUCGCAAGAAGUAAGACCCCUUAAAGACGAUAAGGUAGAUAGGCCAGAGAUGGAAGUGCAGUGAUGUACGGAGUUGACUGGUACUAAUCGGUCGAGGACUUAAUCAG
RNAcentral lists this ribosomal RNA (2080 nucleotides) under human gut metagenome. RNAcentral's name for it is "bacterial LSU rRNA". It matches the Rfam family "Bacterial large subunit ribosomal RNA", at positions 830 to 2925 of the family's 2925-position model. The record is from RNAcentral.